This 864-nucleotide long non-coding RNA is filed under the name Oryctolagus cuniculus (rabbit). RNAcentral's name for it is "lncRNA (ENSOCUG00000031239.1)". The record is from RNAcentral. Lineage: Eukaryota; Metazoa; Chordata; Mammalia; Lagomorpha; Leporidae.
AUGUUCCCUAAGCACCUGCUCCAUGUUGGACCUUGGCAUGUUUAUUACAAAUUACAGUAUAACUUGGGUCCGCCUCCUUCCCCCAGGUUUUGUGGGAGGAGCUGUCUGCAUUGGUGGAGCCUUGUCUUUUGCAUAAUUCAGAGUUGUGGCCCAGAGGAAACGGCAGUUUCCACAGGCAGAAUGCGGUUUGAAUUCUCGUACUGCAUUUUCAUAUUCACAGACUUCUUAACUGGGGAGAGUCCCGACCCACUGUGUGGAGUUCAUGAAGAUGAAAUGGCUCCUCUCGAGGCAGGAGUGAAGGGGGCACAGGGAGGAAAUGCCCACUGCCAGAAGCAGUCCUGUGCCUGCUCAGCGCGCAGCCUAGGAGACCUUGUUAGCGAGAAGGGAGGCCUGGGCGCUGAGCUUUCACUCGGAGCUGGCCUGGGGCUGGGAGCACUUGCCAUUUCUUUAAAGGGUCCUGGGUGUCAGAGAAGCCUGCGUUCCUUGCCCUCGGGAGGGGAGAGACCAGUGAGGACAAGGCGCCUUUGGCAGGUAAGCAAGGCAUGUAAGUACGGCUGUGACAGGGUCCCCAGGGAGACAGAGGCAUGCUUUCGUGGGGGGUAUGGGAGGGGCAGGGGCAGCGGGGAGGGCUUCCAUGAGCAAGUGCUGUGCUCACCCUGGGUCCCCGGGGCGCCCAGAGGCUGCUGGCCGAGCGUGAAGAGCUCCAGGCAGAAGGAAGAGAACUCCGGACGUGGAAACAGAAGUGCAUGGAGCGGAAGUUUAAGAGGCAGAAUUUGCUGGAUGUGGGUGGCAAGGGAGAGGGGAGUGGCCUGGGUGAUGGGGCCAGGAGAGGGACGACUCACUGCGCCCGUUAUCGCUGGCUAG